RNAcentral lists this non-coding RNA (148 nucleotides) under Chlorocebus sabaeus (green monkey). The record is from Rfam by way of RNAcentral. Lineage: Eukaryota; Metazoa; Chordata; Mammalia; Primates; Cercopithecidae.
GCCAGGGGUGGUGGCUCACUCCUGUAAUCCCAGCAUUUUGGGAGGCUGAGGUAGGAGGAUCACUCGAGCCCGGGAGGUUGAGGCUGCAGUGUGCCAAGAUCAUGCCACCGCACUCUAGACUGGGCAACAGAGUGAGACCCUGUCUCAA